Molecule: ribosomal RNA, 226 nt
Filed under: uncultured bacterium
Lineage: Bacteria
Description: partial 16S ribosomal RNA
Rfam family: Bacterial small subunit ribosomal RNA
Source: RNAcentral
GCGUUGUCCGGAUUUAUUGGGCGUAAAGAGCUCGUAGGCGGUUCGAUAAGUCGGGUGUGAAAACUCUGGGCUCAACCCAGAGACGCCACCUGAUACUGUUGUGACUGGAGUCUGGUAGGGGAGUGUGGAAUUCCCGGUGUAGCGGUGAAAUGCGCAGAUAUCGGGAGGAACACCAGUGGCGAAGGCGGCACUCUGGGCCAGUACUGACGCUGAGGAGCGAAAGCGU